AUUGAACGCUGGCGGCAUGCCUUACACAUGCAAGUCGAACGGUAACAGGUCUUCGGAUGCUGACGAGUGGCGAACGGGUGAGUAAUACAUCGGAACGUGCCUAGUAGUGGGGGAUAACUACUCGAAAGAGUGGCUAAUACCGCAUGAGAUCUACGGAUGAAAGCAGGGGAUCGCAAGACCUUGUGCUACUAGAGCGGCCGAUGGCAGAUUAGGUAGUUGGUGGGAUAAAAGCUUACCAAGCCGACGAUCUGUAGCUGGUCUGAGAGGACGAUCAGCCACACGGGGACUGAGACACGGCCCAGACUCCUACGGGAGGCAGCAGUGGGGAAUUUUGGAUAAUGGGCGCAAGCCUGAUCCAGCAUGCCGCGUGCAGGAUGAAGGCCUUCGGGUUGUAAACUGCUUUUGUACGGAACGAGAAGCCCCGGGUUAAUACCCUGGGGUCAUGACGGUACCGUAAGAAUAAGCACCGGCUAACUACGUGCCAGCAGCCGCCGCAG
This 497-nucleotide ribosomal RNA is filed under the name uncultured bacterium. Its description in RNAcentral is "partial 16S ribosomal RNA". It matches the Rfam family "Bacterial small subunit ribosomal RNA", at positions 30 to 523 of the family's 1533-position model. The record is from RNAcentral.